UGAGGAAUAUUGCGCAAUGGGCGAAAGCCUGACGCAGCGACGCCGCGUGAGCGAUGAAGCCUUUCGGGGUGUAAAGCUCUGUCAAGAGGGAAGAUUAUGACGGUACCUCUGAAGGAAGUCACGGCUAAUUACGUGCCAGCAGCCGCGGUAAUACGUAAGUGGCUAGCGUUAUCCGGAAUUACUGGGCAUAAAGAGCGCGUAGGCGGUUAUUUAAGUCAAAUGUUAAAGCCUAUAGCUUAACUAUAGUUCGCAUUUGAAACUGAGUAGCUAGAGAUUAGGAGAGGAAAGCGGAACUCACAGUGUAGCGGUGAAAUGCGUAGAUAUUGUGAGGAACACCAGUGGCGAAGGCGGCUUUCUGGCCUGAUUCUGACGCUGAGGCGCGAAAGCGUGGGGAGCAAACGGG
Molecule: ribosomal RNA, 403 nt
Filed under: uncultured bacterium
Lineage: Bacteria
Description: bacterial SSU rRNA
Rfam family: Bacterial small subunit ribosomal RNA
Source: RNAcentral